This is an RNA transcript of Pan troglodytes (chimpanzee), 6588 nucleotides long. It is a transcript of the gene named interleukin enhancer binding factor 3, with no coding region annotated. NCBI's taxonomy places the organism in Eukaryota, Metazoa, Chordata, Mammalia, Primates, Hominidae. The record is from RefSeq and is a predicted model, not a curated record. The transcript is spliced from 20 exons.
CCUCGGCCGGCGGCGGCGCCACGCGCGGGGGGUGCGCGCGCACCGGGCCCCCGGCUGCCGCCUCCCCGCGGCUGGGCUUUUGUCUGUUGCGGGGUCCUGGGGACGCGCGCACGUGCUUGGAGCACACACCCCCUCGGGUCCCGAGCUCCGCGGCGGGGCGACCCCCCUUCCUCACUCCUUCCCUACCCCCUCCUCCUCUUUGUCCCGGUCCCGCCCCCGAUUCCAGGAGAGUCCCAGGUUCCCGAGGCGGGAAACGUCGCCUCCUUUGUCCUCACAGGGCGCGGAGAGCCGGACCCCUCCUUGGAAGCCCCUUCCCACGCGGAUUGCUGAGGAAGCCUUUGUGGAGUUGAAGUAUUGAUAACACCAAGGAACUCUAUCACAAUUUGAAAAGAUAAGCAAAAGUUUGAUUUCCAGACACUACAGAAGAAGUAAAAAUGCGUCCAAUGCGAAUUUUUGUGAAUGAUGACCGCCAUGUGAUGGCAAAGCAUUCUUCCGUUUAUCCAACACAAGAGGAGCUGGAGGCAGUCCAGAACAUGGUGUCCCACACGGAGCGGGCGCUCAAAGCUGUGUCUGACUGGAUAGACGAGCAGGAAAAGGGUAGCAGCGAGCAGGCAGAGUCCGAUAACAUGGAUGUGCCCCCAGAGGACGACAGUAAAGAAGGGGCCGGGGAACAGAAGACGGAGCACAUGACCAGAACCCUGCGGGGAGUGAUGCGGGUGGGCCUGGUGGCAAAGGGCCUCCUACUCAAGGGGGACUUGGAUCUGGAGCUGGUGCUGCUGUGUAAGGAGAAGCCCACAACCGCCCUCCUGGACAAGGUGGCCGACAACCUGGCCAUCCAGCUUGCUGCUGUAACAGAAGACAAGUACGAAAUACUGCAAUCUGUCGACGAUGCUGCGAUUGUGAUAAAAAACACAAAAGAGCCUCCAUUGUCCCUGACCAUCCACCUGACAUCCCCUGUUGUCAGAGAAGAAAUGGAGAAAGUAUUAGCUGGAGAAACGCUAUCAGUCAACGACCCCCCGGACGUUCUGGACAGGCAGAAAUGCCUUGCUGCCUUGGCGUCCCUCCGACACGCCAAGUGGUUCCAGGCCAGAGCCAACGGGCUGAAGUCUUGUGUCAUUGUGAUCCGGGUCUUGAGGGACCUGUGCACUCGCGUGCCCACCUGGGGUCCCCUCCGAGGCUGGCCUCUCGAGCUCCUGUGUGAGAAAUCCAUUGGCACGGCCAACAGACCGAUGGGUGCUGGCGAGGCCCUGCGGAGAGUGCUGGAGUGCCUGGCGUCGGGCAUCGUGAUGCCAGAUGGUUCUGGCAUUUAUGACCCUUGUGAAAAAGAAGCCACUGAUGCUAUUGGGCAUCUAGACAGACAGCAACGGGAAGAUAUCACACAGAGUGCGCAGCACGCACUGCGGCUUGCUGCCUUCGGCCAGCUCCAUAAAGUCCUGGGCAUGGACCCUCUGCCUUCCAAGAUGCCCAAGAAACCAAAGAAUGAAAACCCAGUGGACUACACCGUUCAGAUCCCACCAAGCACCACCUAUGCCAUUACGCCCAUGAAACGCCCAAUGGAGGAGGACGGGGAGGAGAAGUCGCCCAGCAAAAAGAAGAAGAAGAUUCAGAAGAAAGAGGAGAAGGCAGAGCCCCCCCAGGCUAUGAAUGCCCUGAUGCGGUUGAACCAGCUGAAGCCAGGGCUGCAGUACAAGCUGGUGUCCCAGACUGGGCCCGUCCAUGCCCCCAUCUUUACCAUGUCUGUGGAGGUUGAUGGCAAUUCAUUCGAGGCCUCUGGGCCCUCCAAAAAGACGGCCAAGCUGCACGUGGCCGUUAAGGUGUUACAGGACAUGGGCUUGCCGACGGGUGCUGAAGGCAGGGACUCGAGCAAGGGGGAGGACUCGGCUGAGGAGACCGAGGCGAAGCCAGCAGUGGUGGCCCCCGCCCCAGUGGUAGAAGCUGUCUCCACCCCUAGUGUGGCCUUUCCCUCAGAUGCCACUGCCGAGCAGGGGCCGAUCCUGACAAAGCACGGCAAGAACCCAGUCAUGGAGCUGAACGAGAAGAGGCGUGGGCUCAAGUACGAGCUCAUCUCCGAGACCGGGGGCAGCCAUGACAAGCGCUUCGUCAUGGAGGUCGAAGUGGAUGGACAGAAGUUCCAAGGUGCUGGUUCCAACAAAAAGGUGGCGAAGGCCUACGCUGCUCUUGCUGCCCUAGAAAAGCUUUUCCCUGACACCCCUCUCGCCCUUGAUGCCAACAAAAAGAAGAGAGCCCCAGUACCCGUCAGAGGGGGACCGAAAUUUGCUGCUAAGCCACAUAACCCUGGCUUCGGCAUGGGAGGCCCCAUGCACAACGAAGUGCCCCCACCCCCCAACCUUCGAGGGCGGGGAAGAGGCGGGAACAUCCGGGGACGAGGGCGCGGGCGAGGAUUUGGUGGCGCCAACCAUGGAGGCUACAUGAAUGCCGGUGCUGGGUAUGGAAGCUAUGGGUACGGAGGCAACUCGGCGACAGCAGGCUACAGUGACUUUUUCACAGACUGCUACGGCUAUCAUGAUUUUGGGUCUUCCUAGAGCGUCUAAAAGUAUUGCACACAAAAUCAACUUUUUACUCCAAUUUCCUCCAACUCCAAAACCCAAAGUGUCCGUGCUGUGUCCCUGUGCUUCACUGGGUUUCUCAACCGUGGCUUUUCACCGCAGCUUGUCUGAAACUCUUAGCCUGCAGAAUUUAAGACAAUGGCAGUUUUUAUCGUGAUUUGCCUUUGAACUUGGUCCUAUUGAAGUUCACAAUAAGUGGAAAACAAUUUUUUCAGAGAAUGUAUUUUUGUGCAGAAUUGCACAGAAUUCUAGAGACAGCGUUGUUCGGCAUCAAGGCAAAAGCCCACCUUUGCUUUUUAUGGAAAGCAUUACUUUAUUUAAAGACACAGACAAUGACGCAUUUUAAUCUACCUUUGUCUUAAUUUACAGCAGGUUUUGUAUGAAUUUUUAACCUUUUAACAAACUCCCAAAUCUGGUUGAUGCCUUUGACAGUGAUGAAAACGAUUUCACCACAUCUGAAUCCAGAGAAACCGGCUUUUUUUCUUAUUGCGAGCAUGUUAAAACGUUGGGAACAUGUGGGGAAUUGUAUAUUGCGCUGAAUUAACUUCUCCCGCCUCUUGUAAUGCUCUGGUGGGUUCUUGUUUGGGAAUGCGAUAUUUUGUGGCUGGUUUAGCUAGAGAGUGAACUCUCAAAGGUAUCAAAACUGUGCUUCCAUUAUUAGUGCAAGAAACAGACAGGCUUUAAGGGGUAGAUGACGUGAAAUUUUGCAAGUCUUAAUUACAGCUGCAGAUGCAUGGGAUUCUGGAUUUUUUUGUUGCUUUUUAGUUUAAUGGGACUUUAAAAGUAAUUGAGAAAGAACCGUGAUGUUCCCUGUUUCUCCAGUAAAGGACUGGCUUUUGCUUGGGCAGAGGUGGUGCUGCUGGGUGUGCAGCUGCCACAGACUCCAAAGCCGUAGAAGUUUGUCUGUGCAAACACACGGAGUCAUUCUGGCUCUCUACUGAGGCCCCUGUUUUCUGGCAGGUGCCCUCCUUGGAAACUGGUUUUGGCUCUGAUCAGCGGUUCUUUUUGCAGCAAAGCCUGCAUCUGUGUUGACUUGCAAGAUUUUGCGUUUAUUCAGGCAAAAACUGGUCAAAAUGGUUACUACAUGAUUUGUUCCCAGAGGUUUGAAACAUUCAGUGAAACUUUUUAAAACUUUGAUUGCAUGAUGUAUUUUUUUUUUAGAAAGUUAUUGUUUGAGAAUAAUGUCUUUUUAUACCAGGAAAAUAGUUAUCCUGAAUGACGUUGAAAACUCCCCCUCCCCUUUAUUUUUUUUUAAUCAAUACAUGUGAAAGUAACAAGCCCUCGGCCCUUGCGUCUUCAUUCAUUCCCGGCUUCAGGCGGGGCGAGGUGGUGUGCUCAGUGCAGGACACUGGGGAAGCUGGGGCUGUGGGGCUGUGGGGUGUGGGUCCUGGUGGGGGCGGUUCUGAAGAUCCCAUCCUCCCAGUCUCCUCGCUGAGCUGCCGCAUGUUCGCUUUCUGGCAUUGUGGGACACAUCCUCCCUCUUGGUGUCUUGGCUUUGUGAUGGCGGGCGAGGGAGGAGGCCUGCCUGAAGAACACAAACUGAAGGUUGCAGAUAGUUCUGUCCACGUUGUCAUGCAGGCAGCCCACCACACCAGCGUGGGGUACACAUCUCCAGUGGGUGGAGGCACGUGAGGACUCCCAGUUACCCUACCCAGGAGGCGGUGGGCCCUUAGUGUCCUCAAUCUGGGAAGGAAGGACAGGCAGCGUGGGAGCCUCCCCUUCCCUCCCACCCACCCUGGGCCUGGAGGUCUGGGCAGCCUGACUGGGCAAAGGUGGCUGCAUUCACAAGCCGACCCGCUCUGAGAGCCCAGGAACUCAGCUGCGCCUGGUGAGCGCUUGGGCGUUGGCCAGCUUGGCUGGAGAGCCACCACCAUGACCCAGCCUCCCACCUCACCCACCCUCUGAGCCUUCCCACACCCACUGUGGAGACUCCCUGUGUGGGGCUCCCUUGCAAGGCUUGGGGUGCAGCAUUCCCUCAGCCAGUGCCGUCCCCUUUGUUCCACUCGAGCCUCUGGCGGGGCCGUGUAUUGACAAACCUAGUGACCAGAAGUGGGGUCUCACUGCUACAUUUUCAGCUUGCGGCUGAGAAUGUAGUGGCUGCACUGCACACUUUCAGCCCUGCUGCUCAGCCCCACCUGCACCCAGCAGCUGUGCUGGGGACAAGGAAGGGGCCUCGGGAGUCAUUAGGGCUGUAGGUCUAGGCCUCACCCGGCUUUCCUGCCCUAGCCGUGGCCACUGCCCUCUGCCAGCCAGGCUGGGGCUUGCUCACAUCCUGAGUCACAUGCUUGCAUGAGUAUCGCAAGGGAGGUACCUGCAUCAUUGACUGAGUCUCGAUUUGUCUUCCAAGAACCAAACCAGCUCAGACCAGUUGGUCUUCUCAGGAUGAUGAUGGUCCAGGGGCCUCUUUAAAUAGCAUCUUUUAGGGGCCUCCAGGCCUGUGCCUGUGGAGCCUGUUCCCAGCAUAGCAGGGAGGAGGGGGGUGGCCGCUGCUUCUCUGGGGCUUUGCUUUUCCUGUCACCAUUGGGGAUCUCUGGGUAGCCGUCAGCUAGCUGUGAAUGUCGUCCCGCGCUCGGAGUCCAUCUCAUUGUAAUGUUGACAUCCGCUGCAAAAGCUGCUGGCGCGUGCUGCUUGGCAAAGCCCCAUUGUUGUCAUCAGCUGCUGGGUGAGUGGAGCUGAAGGCUGGGCCAGCCCAAACGGCUGUGCUAAGGACCGGAGCCACUGCUCCUCUCCCUCCUUGUCCUACUGCCUCUGACCUGGGCUUGUGGGUCAGCCUUCAGGACCCAUGGCUACCGCCUGCCCUUCCCUCCCCUCCCCCUGCCCUUUCCCGUCCUCCGCCUGACCCACUGCCUCCCUGUUUAGGUCAGUUCUACAGCAACGGAGGGCAUUCUGGGAAUGCCGGUGGCGGUGGCGGCGGGGGCGGUGGUGGCUCCUCCGGCUAUGGCUCCUACUACCAAGGUGACAACUACAACUCACCGGUGCCCCCAAAACACGCUGGGAAGAAGCAGCCGCACGGGGGCCAGCAGAAGCCCUCCUACGGCUCGGGCUACCAGUCCCACCAGGGCCAGCAGCAGUCCUACAACCAGAGCCCCUACAGCAACUAUGGCCCUCCACAGGGCAAGCAGAAAGGCUAUAACCAUGGACAAGGCAGCUACUCCUACUCGAACUCCUACAACUCUCCCGGGGGCGGGGGCGGAUCCGACUACAACUACGAGAGCAAAUUCAACUACAGUGGUAGUGGAGGCCGAAGCGGCGGGAACAGCUACGGCUCAGGCGGGGCAUCCUACAACCCAGGGUCACACGGGGGCUACGGCGGAGGUUCUGGGGGCGGCUCCUCAUACCAAGGCAAACAAGGAGGCUACUCACAGUCGAACUACAACUCCCCGGGGUCCGGCCAGAACUACAGUGGCCCUCCCAGCUCCUACCAGUCCUCACAAGGCGGCUAUGGCAGAAACGCAGACCACAGCAUGAACUACCAGUACAGAUAAGCCCCCGCGGGGCGGAGAUUUCUACCUUCUGCACUUACUCCCCAUCAGAAGAUCGAGUUUUAUGCAUCACAGUUAACAUGUCAGCUGGCCCUCCAGGCCCCCGCCCCCACCCCGUCCACGUUGCUGUGUCGUGAGGUGCAGCGGGUCACCCUGUGGCCCGUCCUGUGACCCAUAUUUAGCCGUGUUUGGGACUCCGUGUCUUCAAUGGUUUGUUAGUUGCCAUUACAACUUUGUCUGGGUAGAGUUUUUGAGUUUUUGCAGUUCAGUAUCCCUCUGUCUAUUCACACUUCGUGUUAGUGGUAACUCAGUUUGUCUUUAAAUAGUUACGGAAGGGAUACGUCAUUUGUUAAUGCUUUUGUGAAGUGAGUUACACGAGCUUUCUGUAUUUUAAUGCUUUAGUGUUUCAGUUUUAUAAGUGAAGAUUUUAUUUUAAAAACCAGUGGGAAAGAGUGGGGGGUUUCUUUUUAUGUCUGGGUCAUUCAGGCAGUACAUCUGAAUUAAGCUGAAUGUAGACAAAUAAAGAAAAACAAAACUGC